This 634-nucleotide small RNA is filed under the name Vishniacozyma tephrensis. RNAcentral describes it as "eukaryotic LSU rRNA". It matches the Rfam family "Eukaryotic large subunit ribosomal RNA", at positions 1 to 621 of the family's 3401-position model. Lineage: Eukaryota; Fungi; Basidiomycota; Tremellomycetes; Tremellales; Bulleribasidiaceae. The record is from RNAcentral.
CUCAUGAUCUGGCCUCAAAUCAGGUAGGGCUACCCGCUGAACUUAAGCAUAUCAAUAAGCGGAGGAAAAGAAACUAACUAGGAUUCCCUUAGUAACGGCGAGUGAACCGGGAUGAGCUCAAAUUUGAAAUCUGGCGUCUUUCAGGCGUCCGAGUUGUAAUCUAUAGAGGCGUUUUCCGCGCCGGACCGCGUCCAAGUCUCUUGGAAUAGAGUAUCAAAGAGGGUGACAAUCCCGUACUUGACGCGACAACCGGUGCUCUGUGAUACGUUCUCAACGAGUCGAGUUGUUUGGGAAUGCAGCUCUAAAUGGGUGGUAAAUUCCAUCUAAGGCUAAAUAUUGGCGAGAGACCGAUAGCGAACAAGUACCGUGAGGGAAAGAUGAAAAGCACUUUGGAAAGAGAGUUAAACAGCACGUGAAAUUGUUAAAAGGGAAACGAUUGAAGUCAGUCGUGUGAAAGGUAUUCAGCCGUCUCUGGCGGUGUAUUUGCCUUUCACGGGUCAACAUCAGUUUAGUCCGGUAGAAAAAGGCUGGAGGAAGGUGGCACCCUCGGGUGUGUUAUAGCCUCCUGUCAUAUGUGCCGGAUUAGACUGAGGAACGCAGCUUGCAGCAAUGCCGGGGUUCGCCCACGUACAAG